RNAcentral lists this long non-coding RNA (542 nucleotides) under Anser brachyrhynchus (Pink-footed goose). Its description in RNAcentral is "lncRNA (ENSABRG00000004592.1)". Lineage: Eukaryota; Metazoa; Chordata; Aves; Anseriformes; Anatidae. The record is from RNAcentral.
CAGGCUUCCUGUUCCUUAAGUGGAGUCCUAUUAAGAAUCACUUUCCUCUUUUCAAGUUUGUCUACACUUGCGGAAAGUAUAGCUCAGAAGUGGGAUUUGCAAAUAUGGGAAAUAAAGAAUAGGGAUGUUAAAUUUUGCUAUUGUUCAAAUUUAUAGCUUAUAAAGUAAUAACAAAGUGUCAGGCAAGUAAGAGGUCUCAGUGUGGGAGAUUGCAGACUUUUUUGCAGACUUGAGAAAAUCAUCAGUUCUGGAUUGAAAGGUGGUUAUGAUGAAGAGAUGCCAGGACCUGCUUCUAAAUUGCUGGGUGGAUAAAAACUCUGGAAGGACUUGAAACUGCUGAUAGAUGAACGCAGGAAGGUGAAAUAAUUGUGAACAAAAUGGGAUGCCUGGUACAUAUGGAACAAGGAGUUUUUGAGUUACAGGUGAAGACAGUAAAUAUUGAAACCCUAGCUUAUAACACUGCUUAUUCUCAUUUUAUAACACUGAUUUUUUAAAACCCAGUCUGAAAUAAAGAUUAUGUAAAAUAAGUAGUUAAUUUGCUU